Molecule: ribosomal RNA, 797 nt
Filed under: Sphingobacterium multivorum
Lineage: Bacteria; Pseudomonadati; Bacteroidota; Sphingobacteriia; Sphingobacteriales; Sphingobacteriaceae
Description: bacterial SSU rRNA
Rfam family: Bacterial small subunit ribosomal RNA
Source: RNAcentral
GGGAUCCAUCGGAGAGCUUGCUCGAAGAUGGUGAGAGUGGCGCACGGGUGCGUAACGCGUGAGCAACCUACCUCUAUCAGGGGGAUAGCCUCUCGAAAGAGAGAUUAACACCGCAUAACAUCAACAGUUCGCAUGUUCGGUUGAUUAAAUAUUUAUAGGAUAGAGAUGGGCUCGCGUGACAUUAGCUAGUUGGUAGGGUAACGGCUUACCAAGGCGACGAUGUCUAGGGGCUCUGAGAGGAGAAUCCCCCACACUGGUACUGAGACACGGACCAGACUCCUACGGGAGGCAGCAGUAAGGAAUAUUGGUCAAUGGGCGGAAGCCUGAACCAGCCAUGCCGCGUGCAGGAUGACUGCCCUAUGGGUUGUAAACUGCUUUUGUCCAGGAAUAAACCUAAAUACGUGUAUUUAGCUGAAUGUACUGGAAGAAUAAGGAUCGGCUAACUCCGUGCCAGCAGCCGCGGUAAUACGGAGGAUCCGAGCGUUAUCCGGAUUUAUUGGGUUUAAAGGGUGCGUAGGCGGCCUAUUAAGUCAGGGGUGAAAUACGGUGGCUCAACCAUCGCAGUGCCUUUGAUACUGAUGGGCUUGAAUCCAUUUGAAGUGGGCGGAAUAAGACAAGUAGCGGUGAAAUGCAUAGAUAUGUCUUAGAACUCCGAUUGCGAAGGCAGCUCACUAAGCUGGUAUUGACGCUGAUGCACGAAAGCGUGGGGAUCGAACAGGAUUAGAUACCCUGGUAGUCCACGCCCUAAACGAUGAUAACUCGAUGUUGGCGAUAGACAGCCAGCGUCCCAGCGAAAG